RNAcentral lists this transfer RNA (83 nucleotides) under Capsulimonas corticalis. RNAcentral's name for it is "tRNA-Ala". The record is from RNAcentral. Lineage: Bacteria; Bacillati; Armatimonadota; Armatimonadia; Capsulimonadales; Capsulimonadaceae.
GCAUGGUUGUUCGGCGCGAAGCUGACGCCGCUGGCGCCGGCGUCUUUCGGGGCGACCGUGGCGUUCCAGCCGUCGAUCACGAC